GGGCCCGUGGCGUAGCACGGAUAGCGCGUCGGCCCUCUAAGCCGGAGAUCCUGGGUUCAAAUCCCAGCGGGCCCGCCA
RNAcentral lists this transfer RNA (78 nucleotides) under Candidatus Bathyarchaeota archaeon. RNAcentral describes it as "tRNA-Arg". It matches the Rfam family "tRNA". Rfam says of the family: Transfer RNA (tRNA) molecules are approximately 80 nucleotides in length. The record is from RNAcentral. Lineage: Archaea; Thermoproteati; Candidatus Bathyarchaeota. RNAcentral also lists the same sequence under 3 other names.